GACGAACGCUGGCGGCGUGCCUAACACAUGCAAGUCGAACGGAACUUACCGAAUGAAGUCUUCGGAUGGAUUUUGAUAAGUUUAGUGGCGGACGGGUGAGUAACGCGUGAGUAACCUGCCUUCAAGAGGGGAAUAACGUUCUGAAAGAACGCUAAUACCGCAUAACAUACGGAUGUCGCAUGGCAACCGUAUCAAAGAUUUAUCGCUUGAAGAUGGACUCGCGUCCGAUUAGCCAGUUGGCGGGGUAACGGCCCGACCCAAAGACGACGAUCGGUAGCCGGACUGAGAGGUUGAACGGCCACCAUUGGGACUGAGGACACGGCCCAGACUCCUACGGGAGGCAGCAGUGGGGGAGUAUUG
This 360-nucleotide ribosomal RNA is filed under the name uncultured bacterium. RNAcentral's name for it is "bacterial SSU rRNA". It matches the Rfam family "Bacterial small subunit ribosomal RNA", at positions 28 to 367 of the family's 1533-position model. The record is from RNAcentral.